CAACACAAACAUCUGUCUCUGUGUCUGCUCAGGAAUCAUCAGGCCCAGCAGUGGGGACACUGUGGUCCCUUGGCAGCAUCAGGCAGGAAAUGACACCCAGGCUUUUGAUGGCACACACACCUGAGAAGGGAUUUGGCUAACUAAGAAAAAUUUGCAUGAAGGUCCCUGUCCAUUCUCUGGGAAUUCUUAAAGGACUAGAGAGACCUGCACGAUAUCUGUCUCAGCCGAGCUCAGUGGUGUCUGCACCAUGGCCUGGACUCUUCUCCUCUUUUUCCUCCUUCAUUGUACAGGGUCUUUCUCCCAACCUGUGCCGAUUCAGUCACCCUCAGCCUCUGCCUCCCUGGGAGCCUCAGUCAAACUCACCUGCACCUUGAGUAGUCAGCACAGCACCAACAACAUUGUUUGGUACCAGCAACAUCCAGACAAGGCUCCUAAGCUUGUGAUGCGUCUUCUGAGUGAUGGAAGCUACAGCAAGGAGGAUGGGAUGCCUGACCGCUUCUCUGGCUCCAGCUCUGGGCCUCAUCACUACUUAAGCAUCUCCAACACCCAGCCUGAAGAUGAAGCUAAAUAUUACUGUGGUGUAGGUGAUAGCAAUGGAUGGGUGUUCGGCAAAGGCACCAUAUUGACUCUCCUAGGUCUGCCCAAGGUUACACCUUCAGUCACCCUUUUCCACCAUCCUCUGAGGAGCCAAGAACAAAAAGGGCACACUGUUGUGUCUGAUAACUGA
Peromyscus leucopus (white-footed mouse) is the source of this 727-nucleotide non-coding RNA. Lineage: Eukaryota; Metazoa; Chordata; Mammalia; Rodentia; Cricetidae. The record is from the annotation of a RefSeq genome assembly.